Molecule: ribosomal RNA, 2419 nt
Filed under: Triticum aestivum (bread wheat)
Lineage: Eukaryota; Viridiplantae; Streptophyta; Magnoliopsida; Poales; Poaceae
Description: Archaeal large subunit ribosomal RNA
Rfam family: Bacterial large subunit ribosomal RNA
Source: Rfam by way of RNAcentral
UUGUCCAAGCGGUAAUGAUAGUAUCUUGUACCUGAACCGGUGGCUCAGUUUUUCUAAGUAAUGGGGAAGAGGACUGAAACAUGCCACUGAAAGACUCUACUAAGACAAAAAGAUGGGCUGUCAAAAAGGUAGAGGAGGUAGGAUGGGCAGUUGGUCAGAUCUAGUAUGGAUCAUACAUGGACGGUAGUAUGAUUCAUCCUUGUUCUGUUAAGAUAUCUCUGAUAAGGGCUAUAGCUUAGUUCGGUAGAGCAACUCAUUUACACGUGUGGCAAUGCUUUUCAAAGGAGCUUAUUUUGCAAUGAACAUAACAGGGGUCAAGGUCGACCAGUGAGACGAUGGGGGAUAAGCUUCAUCGUCGAGAGGGAAACAGCCCGGAUCACCAGCUAAGGCCCCUAAAUGACCACUCAGUGAUAAAGGAGGUGGGGGUGCAAAGACAGCCAGGAGGUUUGCCUAGAAGCAGCCACCCUUUAAAGAGUGCGUAAUAGCUCACAGGUCGAGCACCCUUGCGCUGAAGAUGAACGGGGCUAAGCGAUCUGCCGAAGCUGUGGGAUGUCAAAAUGCAUCGGUAGGGGAGCAUUCCGCCUUAGAGGGAAGCAACCGCGAAAGCAGGGGUCGACGAAGUGGAAGCAAGAAGUUUGCUUGAGUAACGAAAACAUUGGCGAGAAUCCAAUGCCCCGAAAACCCAAGGUUUCCUCUGCAAGGUUCGUCCACGAAGGGUGAGUCGGGGCCUAAGAUCAGGCCGAAAGGCAUAGUCGAUGGACAACAUGUCAAUAUUCCUGUACUACCCCUUGUUGGUACUGAGGGAUGGAGGUGGCUAGAUUAGCCGAAAGAUGGUUAUAGGUUUAAGGACACAAGGUGACCCUGCUUUUCCAGGGUAAGAAGGGGUAGAGAAAAUGCCUCGAGCCGAGGUCCGAGUACCAAGCGCUGCAGCGCUGAAGUACGAGCCCCGUGGACUAGCGAUUGCUUCUCCACGAGGCUCAUACCAGGCGCAACGGCGCUGAAGUAUGUAACUGAUGCCAUACUCCCAGGCGCAACGACCUUCAACAAAAGGGUACCUAUACCCGAAACCGACACGGGUGGGUAGGUAGAGAAUACCUAGGGGCGCGAGACAACUCUCUCCAAGGAAGUCGGCAAAAUAGCCCCGUAACAUCGGGAGAAGGGGUGCCCCCUCACAAAAGGGGGCCGCAGUGACCAGGCCCGGGCGACUGUUUACCAAAAACACAGGUCUCCGCAAAGUCGUAAGACCAUGUAUGGGGGCUGACGCCUGCCCAGUGCCGGAAGGUCAAGGAAAUUGGUGUACUGAUGACAGGGAAGCCGGCAACCAAAGCCCCAGUGAAUGGCGGCCGUAACUAUAACGGUCCUAAGGUAGAGAAAUUCCUUGUUGGGUAAGUUCCGACCCACAUGAAAGCCGUAACGAUCUGGGCAUUAUCUCAGAGAGAGGCUGGGUGAACUAGACAUGUCUGUGAAGAUGCGGACUACCUGCACCUGGACAGAAAGACCCUAUGAAGCUUUACUAUUCCCUAGGAUUGGCUUUGGGCCUUUCCUGCGCAGCUUAGGUGGAAGGCGAAGAAGGCCCCUUCCGGGGGCCCUGAGCCAUCAGUGAGAUACCACUCUGGAAGAGCUCGGAUUCUAACCUUGUGUCAGACCCGUGGGCCAAGGGACAGUCUCAGGUAGACAGUUUCUAUGGGGCGUAGGCCUCCCAAAAAGUAACGGAGGCGUGCAAAGGUUUCCUCGGGCCAGACGGACUUUUGUGCUCGAGUGCAAAGGCAGAAGCUAGCUUGACUGGAAGACUCACCCGUCGAGCAGAGACGAAAGUCGGCCUUAGUGAUCCGACAGUGCCAAGUGGAAGGGCCGUCGUUCAACGGAUAAAAUUUACUCUAGGGAUAACAGGAUGAUCUUCCCCAAGAGUCCACAUCGACGGGAAGGUUUGGCACCUCGAUGUCGGCUCUUCACCACCUGGAGCUGUAGGUGGUUCCAAGGGUUGGGCUGUUCGCCCAUUAAUGCGGUACGUGAGCUAUGUUUAGAACCUCGUGAGAUAGUUCGGUCCAUAUCCGGUGUGGACGUUAGAGCAUUGACAGGACCUUUCCCUAGUGCGAGAGGACCGGGAAGGACACACCUCUGGUGUACCAGUUAUCGUGCCUACGGUAAACGCUGGGUAGCCAAGUGCGGAGAGGAUAACUGCUGAAAGCAAAUAAGUAGUAAGCCCACCCCAAGAUGAGUGCUCUCUCCUCUGACUUCCCUAUAGCCUCCCGUAUCACAGCCGAGACAACGACGGGUUCUCCAUCGAUACGGGGAUGGAGCGACAGAAGUAUGGAAAUAGGAUAAGGUAGCAGCGAGACGAGCCGUUUAAAUAGGUGUCAAGUGGAAGUGCAGUGAUGUAUGCAGCUGAGGCAUCCUAACGAACGAACGAUUUGAACCU